GGGUGUUCAAGUUUUGCAAAUAGGAAAUUAGGGUGUUCAAUUUUAAAACAGUUGAGGAUCUGUGACAUGCUACACACAUACUUUAGGAAACGGUGGUGUGGGAAUUUUGGAUACAAAUAGUUGUUCUUCCUUUUCUCAUUUCAAAACAUCAUUGCUGCAGAAAGGAAGAAUCUUUGAUUAAUCAGAAAAAUCACGAGGUUCAACCAAAAAGUUUCUAAGAUGCCAACAAUGAUUUCCUGGUGGUAGCUAUUUAGAAAACACCGGGUAGUUUGAACACGUUUGGAAUCAUAAGAAAACUCGAUUUCAGCCAGCUUCAAAUCAAAGCAUCAAAUAAAUUCUUCUUGCAGAUAAAUCUUUGUGAACAGUCUUCAGCUUCUGUAUUAUGAUGCUCAGACCUAUGGUAAGUUCUUAUCAAUUUACUUUUAACAGUCAAGUCAUUUGCAAUCAAAUAUUCUUUUUCAACUUAUAGCCUAUUUUUCACACAUUCGGUCUUCAAUAGAUGGGCUAAGGAAUUUCCGCAUGUGACAUUAUAUCAAAUUAUCAUUGAUGAUGGUUAUGGUUUGUUCCAUAAUAAUUGUGUAAAGAUGACUAUGUUGUACAUUACAUAGUUCAGGAUUUAGACUAAGCAUUUGAUCAAUCAGAGUAAAUAUAUAUUAGUUUUUCAUACAUCUUAACUGUCAAGAUAUUUGGGAAGAAAACAAAAAACUGUCAAGAUACAAAGUUAAGGGUCAUUUAAUAAAAUUCACAAAUUAUAAUGUCAAUUUCAGGUUAGCAUAUGACCACACGAUGCAUAGAAGAAUUGAGAAUUAAUGGACAAUUUUAUGUAUCAGUGUUUAAAUUUUCAAGAGAAAGAUAAGCUCCAUUUUCUUGUAAAUGUUAAUUUCGUAACGUGACUUUGUGUUUAUUUGCUCAGUUUUGGCAAUGAGAUUGCAUAAAUUUGUGAUGUAGAGUGUGAAAUCCCGUCCCCAGAUUUCACUAUUUAAAAUUACGUAUUUUCAUAUUAUUAAUUUCAACGCGUUUAUAUUUACGACGUAUGAUUUUUUUGGAAAGCAUCUCGAUCACAUAUUGUGGAAAAGGGAAGCCACGUGAGUGGCUGUAAAAAAAAAUAAAAUGAAAAGGGAGGGAGAUCAGGAAAAAAAAAGGGGAGAGAAGAUGAACAAAGGAAGACGAGAGAAUAGGAGAGAAAGGAGAGAAAGGGGGAGAGUGCAACGAAUCGAGAGAGGAGAGAAUGAGAGGAUGGCCCAAUCAGAGAGGGAGAAAGGAGGGAAAUGAGAGAAGAGAGAAAGAGGGGAAAACCCGGAUUUCCCUUCGACCCACAACCCGGACCCGACUUCUCCAUGAUUUCCGAUGCCUUUUAAGCACCGGCGGGUUCACGGAUGCACGGUGGUGGAAUCACCAUUUGUGAAAUGAUUUCUAUCGAUCCUCACCAUCAAAGUACCUCCCUUGAGCUCAGGAACAAUGCCCAAUCAUUGGUUGGAGCGUCAGAGUUGAUUUGAGGACGAAUUAAGGAACACCCAAUUCUAGGGUUCUGGUGGAUCAAGGCUGAUUUCAGGUAUGAAAAUUAGACUUAGGCUCAGUAUGAAAAUUGAUCCCCUCACUGAGAACUACUUGCCUGUAAAAUUUGGUAAUUUUUUGAAAUAGUUAAAUUUUUCCAACGAGACGGGGCAGUCGACCGCCACGUGCGGCGGUGCAUGGGCUGAGACCCCCACCUACCCUUCCUAGACUAAUUUGGAUACUCUGAUUCCAUAUGUGAAGUUUGAUUGACGAAAUCUCAUCGUAUGACUAUAGUUUGGAUAGAGACCUCCCCUUGAACCUUAAGUGAAUCGACGAUCCGACCGUUGGAUCAUCACCAAACUUUAAUACUUUAUAGUACGUAAUACUUGAGGACACUAGGAACUUACAGAUCGGGAAUCUGACGUAUGGAUCUUCCCGAAUUGGAUUUGUAAGUUUGUAAAAUAAAACGUUGACCGCCACCAGAAAUUGUGAUUAGGGAAGAUCUGACCGUCGGAUCGUGGUGAGAUUUUAGUACGAUGUUCUAUGAGUAAUGAGAACCUUAGGAAGUUACGGAACUAAAAUCCGAUAUGCAGAUCUUUCAGAUUGAAUUAUGUAGAGUUGUGGAUCCUACUGUUGACCGAGAGUUGACUUUUGGUCAACAUGUCUCGAAAUGUUCUAGAUAUUAGAAUUGGUACUAUGGGAGACUAAGUGAAGUCUAGUGGACCCACAUGGUUAGAGAGUGACUUGAGUAUAUGGGAUAGGGUUAUUACCUUAAAUUCUUAUAUUAGUAUCCGUUAUGAAUAUGAAAUGGUUUUAUAAGUGUGAUUUCUAUUGAAAUGUGAUUUUUAUAUAUUUAGCCAUAGACCUAUGUUUAUUAUACAUGAUUUGGCUUGUGUACUGAUGAUGGUUGUAAUAUAUGUGGGUUUAAUUAUCUUUUUAGCAAUGUGAAUGAUGUGUAUGACUAUUGUUAUGGCAAUGUGAGCCUAGAAUCUUAUUAGAAGUAUGUUGUAGAACUUAUAGGCUUGUGUGACAUAUUUGUUGGUAGGCAUGAGAAGUUGAUGGUGUAGGUAACUAUGUUGUAACUCAUAGGGGUUGAGGUAUGGGUAGAUGGUGUGCUAAACUGAUUGCACCAGGUAGCAGUGGUAUUUAGAUGGUCUUGCUUGGUAUAUCCGUGAUGGGGGACCAUACGUAUUUUAGGGGUGAUCAUGCUUGGUAUAUCCGUGAUGGGUGAUCAUUGCAUGCACGAUUGGACUAUGCUUAUGGUCCUCCUUGGUAUAUCCACGAUGGGAGACCAUACGCAUUCUAGAAGUGAUCAUGCUUGGUAUAUCUGCGAUGGGUGAUCACUACCUAGAGCUACAGAAUACAGUCUUGCUUGGUAUAUCCACAAUGGGGGACUGUUAGGGGUGAUCAUGCUUGGUAUAUCCGCGAUGGGUGAUCAUUGCCUAUGUUAUUAGAUUAUGCAUAUGGUUCUGCUUGGUAUAUCCGCAAUGGGGGACCAUAUGUAUUCAAGGGUGAUCAUGCUUGGUAUAUCCGCGAUGGGUGAUCACUGCUUGCACGAUGAGAUUAUGCCUAUGGUCUGCUUGGUAUAUCCAUGAUGGGGGACCAUACGCAUUUUAGAGAUUAUGAUGAUUAGUUGUACUUGGCACAUUUCGAUAGGCGAUCAUAAUUUAGUUUAGAUUCUGUUGAGUGGUCCGGAAUCCCUACUCUUGCUCAUUUCCAUAAGUUAGACUAGAACCCUAGAUUUGAGUGAAUGAGAAUUGCCCACAAUAGACUUUGUGAAUAUAAAUUAGAAUUAUCAGGUUAUUACUUAGAAUCCAAGUAGGGAAUUAUGUAGAAUUCCUUAUUUAAAUUCGUGCAAUGAUAUGUGAUUUGGUUGACUGAUUAACGUAAUUAAAUGUUAAUAUUGUGUCUCCUUGAUUCAUGGAAUGGGUUACUUGAGGUGAUUGUGGAAUAAUGUUGAAUAUGAUUGCUAUUAAUACAAUUAGAUCAGUGAUGUUGUGCUUUGUUGAUUCUUUGAUAUAUUACAUGCAAUGAAUUGCGAUUUUAUGUUGAAACAUAAUGGUUUAUAUGAUGGAUGAAAUAGAAACCUUGAUUGUCAUGUGGGUUCAUUAUGUGGCUUGAAUCGAAUAAUUCAUGCUUGUCAAGUCCAUAUGUUUGAUGGAGGAAUGUUAUGUCUUUUGGCUUGAACGGACUGUGAUAUAUGUCAAGUUGUAGCAAAGGACGAACUACGAAUGACUUGAUCCUUGUUGAGGGUAUGUAGGUAGUUUAACGAGGAGGUUAGAUGCAACCAUAAAAUAUACGGAAAUUACUACACAAUUUGGACCUUGAGUGGUGCUUUAUUCAUAUUCCGGAGGCGGGGUAUGUUAGAUAUACGAGUAUUUGGUGACGUCACGUGUCAAUCCGGGACGUAUGUCGGGAUCGGGGCAUGACAUAGAGUCCCUUUUUUGUUCAAUUUUUGCAUGUUUCAU
Molecule: non-coding RNA, 3962 nt
Organism: Malus domestica (apple)
Lineage: Eukaryota; Viridiplantae; Streptophyta; Magnoliopsida; Rosales; Rosaceae
Source: RefSeq, a predicted model, not a curated record